Molecule: unclassified non-coding RNA, 312 nt
Filed under: plant metagenome
Description: partial contains 5.8S ribosomal RNA, internal transcribed spacer 2, and large subunit ribosomal RNA
Rfam family: 5.8S ribosomal RNA (bases 1-105)
Source: RNAcentral
GAAACGCGAUAGUUAAUGUGAAUUGCAGAAUUCAGUGAAUCAUCGAAUCUUUGAACGCACAUUGCGCCCUCUGGCAUUCCGGGGGGCAUGCCUGUCCGAGCGUCAUUACGCACCCUCAAGCCCGGCUUGUGUGAUGGGCCCCGGCGUCUCGUUCGCGAGACGGGCCCGAAAGGCAGCGGCGGCGUCGACCCGAUGAGCCCGAGCGUAUGGGGACUUCUGUCACACGUUCGCGGUGCGGACCGGCGCCUGCUUGACUUUUCUGAUUAUCCAGGUUGACCUCGGAUCAGGUAGGGAUACCCGCUGAACUUAAGC